Molecule: ribosomal RNA, 478 nt
Filed under: uncultured bacterium
Lineage: Bacteria
Description: partial 16S ribosomal RNA
Rfam family: Bacterial small subunit ribosomal RNA
Source: RNAcentral
GACGAACGCUGGCGGCGUGCUUAACACAUGCAAGUCGAACGGUAAGGCCCUUCGGGGUACACGAGUGGCGAACGGGUGAGUAACACGUGGGUGAUCUGCCCUGCACCUCGGGGUAAGCCUGGGAAACUGGGUCUAAUACCGGAUAGGACCACUGCCUGCAUGGGUGGUGGUGGAAAGCUUGUGCGGUGUGGGAUGGGCCCGCGGCCUAUCAGCUUGUUGGUGGGGUGAUGGCCUACCAAGGCGACGACGGGUAGCCGGCCUGAGAGGGUGACCGGCCACACUGGGACUGAGAUACGGCCCAGACUCCUACGGGAGGCAGCAGUGGGGAAUAUUGCACAAUGGGCGCAAGCCUGAUGCAGCGACGCCGCGUGAGGGAUGACGGCCUUCGGGUUGUAAACCUCUUUCAGCACCGACGAAGCGCAAGUGACGGUAGGUGCAGAAGAAGGACCGGCCAACUACGUGCCAGCAGCCGCGGUAA